RNAcentral lists this long non-coding RNA (298 nucleotides) under Elaeis guineensis (African oil palm). RNAcentral's name for it is "long non-coding RNA (EGUI_LNC077960)". Lineage: Eukaryota; Viridiplantae; Streptophyta; Magnoliopsida; Arecales; Arecaceae. The record is from RNAcentral.
CCUCGACCUCGACUGCGGGAAGGCUUCGCCCGGACUCCUACGGGAGCCGAGCUCCGCCCACGACUUCACUUACAGGUAAACUCCGUCCGAACUCCUACGGGAGCCGGACCUCGUUUCUGACCUUGAUUGCAGGUGGACUCCGACUAAACUCCUACGGGAGCCAGAUCUCGUCGCCGACUUCCACUGCAGGCAGACUUCGUCCAGACUCCUACGGGAGCCAGACUUCGUCCCCAACCUCAAUUGCAGGAAGACUUCGUCCGGACUCCUACGGGAGCCGGACUUCGUCCCCAACCUCAAC